Long non-coding RNA from Raphanus sativus (radish), 2414 nucleotides. RefSeq lists it as uncharacterized. NCBI's taxonomy places the organism in Eukaryota, Viridiplantae, Streptophyta, Magnoliopsida, Brassicales, Brassicaceae. The transcript is spliced from 5 exons. The record is from RefSeq and is a predicted model, not a curated record.
CAUUCUCUCAAACUCACGUACUCUCUCUUUUCAGUAUAAUAAAUAUAUAAAAGUCAUUUGUUUCACUUGUAUUUCACAACACGUUAUCAGCACGACGAACUCUCUUAUACCGACCGUUCUUAGACCAAACAAGCGAGAAAAUGAAUCGAUGAAAAGAAAAUGCUCUCUGCAAAACAGAACGAUGAUUGAAUUCAAGAUCUACCAACAACUCUCAUUCUCCGAUUUCUAUACGUUCAGAAAUAUUUGCAUGUCGAAUAUGAAGCCAUCUGUGAUAAAAACGAUGAGUCCGAGAUGGUUGUCAAUUGUACCUGUUCCGAUCAAUUCAAUGAAGUCGUAAGAGGCACAGGAAGAUAACAAAAGUUAAAUCUAAGUUGAUGUCUUUGUGUUAAAUAAUUAAGGAUUUCUUCAACUGUACACAGAUAAGUCUCCCACUAUAGCUUUUUUAUUAUACGUGAGACUGUUAAUCUCAUCUCCUUUAGAGUUAGUGAGUUGACUUAAUUAUGUAUACAAUUCAUGUGCAGGUGCGUGCAGUUAAAAAUUUAGAGACAGAGCUUUAUUCAUCUGAAGAAAAUGGGACAGGGACUUAGUAGAUGCAAGUCAAGAACAGGAUCACCUCCAGCUUUUUACGUUGCUUCCCCAAGUACGCUGAAUGGACGCUGAAUGGUAUUGCCUCAACACAAUCCAAAACUUUGCCCAGCACAUCUGACAAAAUAAAACAUGGUAAAGGGUGUAAGGUUUGAUUAUGAAGAUGAUUUUGAUGGGCUGAACAUCCUUUUAACAUGCAUGGACUUAUUUGGAAAUGGGCCUAACUUGUUCGGUUGUAAAUUAGUUAGAUUAUGGAUAAGUCAUAAAAACAAAAGAAUUAUGAUUGGUCUAAAAUCGGGAUCGACAUUUAUUUCUUAAAAAAAAAAGGUAAUGGCAUUUGGUGGUAAAUAACUCAAAAAGGUAGUGGCAAAAAGCUAUUAGGUAUUUUACUUCAAUAGUAUAGAUGGACAUAACAAUUGUGAUGACAUCAAACUUUAGCUUAUAACUAAAACAAGAAAACAAAUCCAAACAAUUAUCAUAUCAGAUCAAUCCUCAGAAAAAACCUUCUUCCUUACACAAAUUCUCUGUCCAUAACUUCUCAUUUCAUACCUUAUCUACCUAGAACUCCUCUUUUUACACCUCAUCCAUCCACACCUCCUCUUUUCUGCUAUAUCUCACGUAUACAAAUCUCCUGUCCAGAGCUCCUCCUUUCAUACCUCAUCCAUCCACAACUCUUCUUCUCACACCCGUCCGUCCAUCCAUAACUCCCAUGUCCACAACCACAACAUCAUCAGACAAUCAUCCUUCAUCCUUCGAGCCCUUAUCCACCCCCAAUCAACUCCACUGUAGCUUUUAGUUUCGCUGACAAAAACCCUAGAAAUCGUACUCAUCCACCAUAGUCACCAGCCAAGAAAAACUCCAGCUAUCCACACAACCCAUUCACACGCUAUCCGUCCACAUCUUUUACAUAUCUGGAUUUUGAAAUCGGAUUUUGCAUAUCUGGAUUUUGAAAUCCACAACAGCACUAAAAACCAACAAAACAAAAACGAGAAUUGAUUUAAAUAAUUUUGAAAUCAAACUCAUAACAACAAAAAGAUCCUAAUUUCCAACAGAGAAUGUCAUCUAUGCUAAAAUGGAUAAGACUUAGGUUCACCCCCUAUGGUGAACCUUUAAAUUCACCACUCCCCUUAAAUCCAAUCAAAAAUGCCAUGUAGAUAAUUAAAUAAAAAUAUUAAAUUAUUAAAAAAAAUAGUUAAAAAGAAAAAUAAAGUCAAUUUUAAUGAUGCAAACUAAACCCUAAACCCUAAAUCAUAAAUUCUAAACCCAAAUAUAUACCCUAAACCCAAAAUUUAUACCUUAAACCCAAACCAUAUACCCUAAACUCAAAUUCUAAACUUUAAACCCAAACCAUAAACCUUAAAUACAAACCCUAUACUCUAAAUCGAUCAUAUAUCCUAUACCCUAAACCCAAAUCCUAUACCCUAAACUCAAAACGUAUAUCUUAAACCUAAAUUCUACACUUUAAACCCAAACCCUAAACUUAAGAAUUUGGCUUUAGGAUUUACGAUUUGGGUUUAGGGAAUAAGAUUUGGGUUUAGGGUAUAUGGUUUGGGUUUAGGGUAUAUAGUUUGGGUUUAGGGUAUAGGAUUUGGGUUUAGAGUAUAGGAUAUAGAAUGGGUUUAGGGUAUAGCGUUUGGAUUUAGGGUUUAGAAUUUGAGUUUUGGAUAUAUGGUUUGGGUUUAGGGUAUAAGAUUUGGGUUUAGGGUAUAGGUUUUGCUUUAGAAUUUAAAUUUAGGGUUUAGUAUUUAGUUAACGUUAUUAAAAUUAACGUUAUUUCCUUUUUAAACUAUUUUCUUAUAAUUUAAUAUUUUUUAUUUAAUUAUCUACAU